UCCGGUGAUGGUUUAAAUCUUUGAGAACUGAGAUCUUACCUUGCUGAAAAGCUUACAAGCAUGUUUUUCUGAGGAU
Spinacia oleracea (spinach) is the source of this 76-nucleotide non-coding RNA. Lineage: Eukaryota; Viridiplantae; Streptophyta; Magnoliopsida; Caryophyllales; Amaranthaceae. The record is from Rfam.